UAAGCUUGACAUCCCAUUGACCUUUCCCUACUCGGAGAUUUCCCUUCGGGGACAAUGUUGACAGGUGGUGCAUGGUUGUCGUCAGCUCGUGUCGUGAGAUGUUGGGUUAAGUCCCGCAACGAGCGCAACCCUUGCCUUUAGUUGCCAGCAUUAAGUUGGGCACUCUAGAGGGACUGCCGAGGAUAACUCGGAGGAAGGUGGGGAUGACGUCAAAUCAUCAUGCCCCUUAUGCUUAGGGCUACACACGUGCUACAAUGGGUGGUACAGAGGGUUGCCAAGCCGUGAGGUGGAGCUAAUCCCUUAAAGCCAUUCUCAGUUCGGAUUGUAGGCUGAAACUCGCCUACAUGAAGCUGGAGUUACUAGUAAUCGCAGAUCAGAAUGCUGCGGUGAAUGCGUUCCCGGGUC
This 405-nucleotide ribosomal RNA is filed under the name uncultured Paeniclostridium sp. Its description in RNAcentral is "bacterial SSU rRNA". It matches the Rfam family "Bacterial small subunit ribosomal RNA", at positions 976 to 1380 of the family's 1533-position model. The record is from RNAcentral. Lineage: Bacteria; Bacillati; Bacillota; Clostridia; Peptostreptococcales; Peptostreptococcaceae.